This is a non-coding RNA of Schizosaccharomyces pombe (fission yeast), 200 nucleotides long. The record is from the annotation of a GenBank genome assembly. NCBI's taxonomy places the organism in Eukaryota, Fungi, Ascomycota, Schizosaccharomycetes, Schizosaccharomycetales, Schizosaccharomycetaceae.
CAUCCAGUUCAAAUCUCUGACUGACUUACACUUUUCUGAAACUCUUCUAAGUAGUUGUUUGCUUGAAGUUUCUGCUCACGAUCAGUGUUGGCAUACAAAGUAGCCAAAGCACUUAACAACGUUUCCAUGAGGGCAUAAAAAUCACUUAGAUUGAUUGCUUUACGCACUGGCAGCGUGUGUUUUUGUUUCGGUUCAGACCU